GACGAACGCUGGCGGCGUGCUUAACACAUGCAAGUCGAACGGAAAGGCCCUGCUUUUGUGGGGUGCUCGAGUGGCGAACGGGUGAGUAACACGUGAGUAACCUGCCCUUGACUUUGGGAUAACUUCAGGAAACUGGGGCUAAUACCGUAUAGGAGCUCCUGCUGCAUGGUGGGCGUUGGAAAGUUUCGGCGGUUGGGGAUGGACUCGCGGCUUAUCAGCUUGUUGGUGGGGUAGUGGCUUACCAAGGCUUUGACGGGUAGCCGGCCUGAGAGGGUGACCGGCCACAGUGGGACUGAGAUACGGCCCAGACUCGUACGGGAGGCAGCAGUGGGGAAUAUUGCACAAUGGGCGGAAGCCUGAUGCAGCAACGCCGCGUGCGGGAUGACGGCCUUCGGGUUGUAAACCGCUUUCGCCUGUGACGAAGCGUGAGUGACGGUAAUGGGUAAAGAAGCACCGGCUAACUACGUG
This 468-nucleotide ribosomal RNA is filed under the name uncultured bacterium. RNAcentral's name for it is "partial 16S ribosomal RNA". It matches the Rfam family "Bacterial small subunit ribosomal RNA", at positions 28 to 507 of the family's 1533-position model. The record is from RNAcentral.